This 72-nucleotide non-coding RNA is filed under the name marine eukaryotic metagenome. RNAcentral describes it as "Cyclic di-GMP-I riboswitch". It matches the Rfam family "c-di-GMP-I riboswitch aptamer". Rfam says of the family: GEMM was predicted in a large-scale screen for bacterial structured RNA regulatory elements. Genes associated with GEMM are involved in a diverse array of functions, including chemotaxis regulation, signal transduction, secretion and chitin. The record is from RNAcentral.
CCGAAAAAGGCAAAGCCGUCGCAAGGCGGUGACGCAAAGCCACGGAACUCAGGAGAGUCAGCCGGGCAGCCG